This 899-nucleotide ribosomal RNA is filed under the name human gut metagenome. RNAcentral's name for it is "bacterial SSU rRNA". It matches the Rfam family "Bacterial small subunit ribosomal RNA", at positions 26 to 910 of the family's 1533-position model. The record is from RNAcentral.
AGAUUGAACGCUGGCGGCGUGCUUAACACAUGCAAGUCGAACGUGAAAGUCCUUCGGGGCGAGUAAAGUGGCGCACGGGUGAGUAACGCGUGGAUAAUCUACCCUUAAGAUGGGGAUAACGGCUGGAAACGGUCGCUAAUACCGAAUACGCUCCCGAUUUUAUCAUUGGGGGGAAAGAUGGCCUCUGCUUGCAAGCUAUCGCUUAAGGAUGAGUCCGCGUCCCAUUAGCUAGUUGGCGGGGUAACGGCCCACCAAGGCAACGAUGGGUAGCCGGUCUGAGAGGAUGACCGGCCACACUGGAACUGGAACACGGUCCAGACUCCUACGGGAGGCAGCAGUGGGGAAUAUUGCGCAAUGGGCGAAAGCCUGACGCAGCGACGCCGCGUGAGGGAUGAAGGUUCUCGGAUCGUAAACCUCUGUCAGGGGGGAAGAAACCCCCUCGUGUGAAUAAUGCGAGGGCUUGACGGUACCCCCAAAGGAAGCACCGGCUAACUCCGUGCCAGCAGCCGCGGUAAUACGGAGGGUGCAAGCGUUAAUCGGAAUCACUGGGCGUAAAGCGCACGUAGGCGGCCUGGUAAGUCAGGGGUGAAAUCCCACAGCCCAACUGUGGAACUGCCUUUGAUACUGCCAGGCUUGAGUACCGGAGAGGGUGGCGGAAUUCCAGGUGUAGGAGUGAAAUCCGUAGAUAUCUGGAGGAACACCGGUGGCGAAGGCGGCCACCUGGACGGUAACUGACGCUGAGGUGCGAAAGCGUGGGUAGCAAACAGGAUUAGAUACCCUGGUAGUCCACGCUGUAAACGAUGGGUGCUGGGUGCUGGGAUGUAUGUCUCGGUGCCGUAGCUAACGCGAUAAGCACCCCGCCUGGGGAGUACGGUCGCAAGGCUGAAACUCAAAGAAAU